CCUGGGCCAUUAGCUCAGGUGGUUAGAGCGCACCCCUGAUAAGGGUGAGGUCCCUGGUUCAAGUCCAGGAUGGCCCAUUCGGUGUUGGGGGUUUAGCUCAGUUGGUAGAGCGCCUGCUUUGCAAGCAGGAUGUCAGGAGUUCGAGUCUCCUAACCUCCACUGACUACCAAAAUCCCCAUCUCCAAAGCCUGGAGUAUGAACUCGUAUGGAUUGUGAUUUAGAUGUGUCCGCUAGAUGACCCUAGCUUCUUGUCAUUUUAAGGCAUGGAAAUGAUUCCAUGAUAUUUAAUUGAUAGGAUGCUGGGCUCGAUGCAAUGUAUUGAGAGAUCAAUGCAUUGUUUUGAUGUCUGGCCGAACCUUGACAACUGCAUAGUAAGUCUGGAAAGAAUAAAACAUCUUUAUGGAUGCAUCAUUCUUGAGUGUUAAUUCACGAUGGGAUGGUGUUAAUUCUAAGCAAGAGCCGAGACUCCAGCAUGUUCUUUCAAAUGUGUCGAGCAUUUGAGAGUUUGAUUUUAAUUUCUACUUGUAGAAGUUAGAAGAAUCUGUUUCAACGACAGCAAGCGUGUUGGAGAUACAUUGGUCAAGCUACAAAGGGCUCACGGCGGAUACCUUGGCACACAGAGGCGAUGAA
Molecule: transfer RNA, 630 nt
Filed under: uncultured cyanobacterium
Lineage: Bacteria; Bacillati; Cyanobacteriota
Description: partial contains 16S-23S ribosomal RNA intergenic spacer and 23S ribosomal RNA
Rfam family: tRNA (bases 87-159)
Source: RNAcentral